UAUAUAUUGAUAAUGACAGUAUAUAUAUCGUGUCUUGACUAAUUGCGUGCCAGCAGUCGCGGUAAUACGUAAGAGACUAGUGUUAUUCAUCUUAAUUAGGUUUAAAGGGUACCUAGACGGUCAAUAUAGCUUCUAAAAUGUUAGUACUUGACUAGAGUUUUAUGUAAGAGGGCAGUACUUGAGGAGGAGAGAUGAAAUUCUAUGAUACCAAAGGGACUCGGUAAAGGCGAAGGCAGCCYUCUAUGUAAAAACUGACGUUAAAGGACGAAGGCACAGAGCACAAACAGGAUUAGGUACCCAAGUAGUCUUUGCAGUAAAUGAUGAAUGCCAUAGGUUAGAUUAAGAUUUAGUAUUAUAAUUAUAAAUUAAAUAUUAAACAUUAUCUGGUCUAUAAAUGAAAGUGUAAG
This 407-nucleotide ribosomal RNA is filed under the name Trichoderma aureoviride. RNAcentral describes it as "SSU rRNA". Lineage: Eukaryota; Fungi; Ascomycota; Sordariomycetes; Hypocreales; Hypocreaceae. The record is from RNAcentral.